Molecule: transfer RNA, 84 nt
Filed under: Felis catus (domestic cat)
Lineage: Eukaryota; Metazoa; Chordata; Mammalia; Carnivora; Felidae
Rfam family: tRNA
About the family: Transfer RNA (tRNA) molecules are approximately 80 nucleotides in length.
Source: Rfam by way of RNAcentral
GCCUGGGAGGCUUAGUCGGUUAAGCGUCUGGCUUUGGCUCAGGUCAUGAUCUCGGGUUUGUGGGUUCGAGCCCUGCACCGGGCU